RNAcentral lists this ribosomal RNA (534 nucleotides) under uncultured bacterium. RNAcentral describes it as "bacterial SSU rRNA". It matches the Rfam family "Bacterial small subunit ribosomal RNA", at positions 141 to 669 of the family's 1533-position model. The record is from RNAcentral.
GGAUAACGAAUCGAAAGCUUUGCUAAUACCGCAUAAGAUCUACGGAUGAAAGCAGGGGACCGCACGGCCUUGCGCGAACGGAGCGGCCGAUGGCAGAUUAGGUAGUUGGUGGGAUAAAAGCUUACCAAGCCGACGAUCUGUAGCUGGUCUGAGAGGAUGACCAGCCACACUGGGACUGAGACACGGCCCAGACUCCUACGGGAGGCAGCAGUGGGGAAUUUUGGACAAUGGGCGAAAGCCUGAUCCAGCCAUGCCGCGUGCAGGAUGAAGGCCUUCGGGUUGUAAACUGCUUUUGUACGGAACGAAAAGACUCUGGUUAAUACCUGGGGUCCAUGACGGUACCGUAAGAAUAAGCACCGGCUAACUACGUGCCAGCAGCCGCGGUAAUACGUAGGGUGCAAGCGUUAAUCUGAAUUACUGGGCGUAAAGCGUGCGCAGGCGGUGAUGUAAGACAGAUGUGAAAUCCCCGGGCUCAACCUGGGAACUGCAUUUGUGACUGCAUCGCUGGAUUACGGCAGAGGGGGGAUGGAAUUC